RNAcentral lists this ribosomal RNA (380 nucleotides) under uncultured eukaryote. Its description in RNAcentral is "partial 18S ribosomal RNA". It matches the Rfam family "Eukaryotic small subunit ribosomal RNA", at positions 592 to 976 of the family's 1831-position model. The record is from RNAcentral.
CAAUAGCGUAUAUUAAAGUUGUUGCGGUUAAAAAGCUCGUAGUUGGAUUUCUGCUGAGAACGACCGGUCCGCCCUUUGGGUGUGUAUCUGGCUCUUUCUUGGCAUCUUCUUGGUGAACGUUGCUGCACUUGACUGUGUGGAGCGCUACCCAGGACUUUUACUUUGAGGAAAUUAGAGUGUUUCAAGCAGGCAUACGCCUUGAAUACAUUAGCAUGGAAUAAUAAGAUAGGACCUCGGUUCUAUUUUGUUGGUUUCUAGAGCUGAGGUAAUGAUUAAUAGGGAUAGUUGGGGGCAUUCGUAUUUAACUGUCAGAGGUGAAAUUCUUGGAUUUGUUAAAGAGGGACUACUGCGAAAGCAUUUGCCAAGGAUGUUUUCAUUGA